CUGAGGGAUUCUGGGAGUAUGCUAACAGAUGUCUAGUGACGAUCUGUGGACAGUAAACAAUCUAGCAAAUUACAUUACUAGUGAGGAGCAGCUGUUGAAUGUGGUCACACGGAAGGCACGAACGGACCCUGGAUACAUUUCCAUAUGUCAACUGCUAAAGAAAAGAUAACUAACAUCAAAGUUACCUUAGGAUUUCAUGUAGUAGACCUGGUUGCAGCCGGAAGACACUGUUAUAAGUUAAGAUUUAUGGACAAGGGACAGGAGGAAGGUUGUCUAAUGCUCUGAUGAAGUUUCAGUCUUUCAGUGCAGCUGAGUCUGAGGACCGUGGUCUUCCUCAGCAUAUGAGGAUGUAGCUCUCAAUAACUGCCUCCAAUGCCAUGUGACACCAUGCUCCUUGCCAAGAUGAUAAUGGACUAAGCCUCUGAAACUGUAAUUUUGCCUCCGGCAAACCUCUGGCUUUUAGCGAUGGAAUCAAAACACAAGCCACUCUCCCUCUGAAGCUCUACAGUCUUCCUUGUUAUUAAAAAAAAAAUAUCAAGCAUGGUCUUGCUGAAGAAGUGUGCACGGGCUGUCUCCCUCUUAUCCUUGUGGUGGUUUUGCUCAGGGACACAUGUGGUUGGAGCCUGUUCUUGAUGCUGGCUCUUCUCUGCCGCAGGCUGAAGUUUCUAAGCCUUUGUUUCAUUAGGACCUUUCCCUCAUCCUCCUUCCUGAGCUUUCUCGACUGCAGCAUCUGUCACCCCAUGACGGACACUAUUUCCUCAUUUUCGCUCAUUUGUUUUACAGAGUUUUAUGUUUCCGUGUCUCACACUAUAUCUUCCACACCAGGAGCAUAUUAAAUGAUUGGUUGGGUGUUGGAUCGAUGGAAUGAACGUAAAACAAUUCCUCCUUUUGAAAGGAUGAAGGUGCUUACUUUCAAAAAAAAGAUGCGAUGGAACCUUUUAAUCCGAACUAUCUCCAAAUUCCUUGAAAAGUCAUCACCAUGGGGGACAAAAGUUGAAGCCAGAAAGGAAGCAAAGACAAGAACAGGGAGUAGGGGAAAGGGCCGCACCUCCUCAUACCAUCGUACCGUUGAUCAGAGCUUCAGCACAUGAAUUUUGGGGGAACAUAUUCAACGCAAACUGCAAGGCUCCAUAAAACGAGGCAGUCCAACAGCUGGAGAUGGGGGAGGGGGACUUGCUUGGUGGGGAAUUCCCAGAACAGAUGGGUGCCGUAGAACGUGGGGCCCACGAGAAAUCUGAUCAAUCUUCCAGCACCUGGGCUUCUUUCCCCAGACAUUCUCACCCGGCAGCUGCUGCCUGUCAUCCUGCCUUCCCCCUCUCAGCUGGCAGAGUUCAGUGACGAGGAGCACAGGCUCUUUUCCCUGACAGUGUUUGGGCACACAAACUUGCAGGGCUUCUCCACGUUUAGUCCUAGAGGCUCUCAGGAAACUCUUGGGAAGGGUGUUAAACCUGUCAGUCUUAGAGGCCUACUUCACACACCCAAAAUUUAAACCCCUACUGGGGCUCAGAAUCCACUCAGAACAAAAUUCAAAAGAUACUGUGCGGCUUUACACAAUUUACUGUGUUGCCAUAUUGUGGUUUUAAUCACAACAGUCUUCCUUUCUGCCAUUCUUUUUAAUCUUCCCCUCCCUUAUUCAUUUGCCUUUUUGUUUCUUCACCUCUCCCCCAUACCCCCUCCCCCAGCAGUAACUGAAGCUCCAAAUCAGGAGUUUAAAAUAGUGCGGGUGCGUUUUACUAGAACAAUAGAUUAGUAUGCGGUGGCAGUGUCCUCGGUAGCUGUCAAUAUAGGGAAGUGCAUGCACUGUAGCAGCUUGGACUGUCACUCAGCAGCUGGUGGGAGAAAAGCAAAACCCACAGUGAUGGAGGGGUUACAGGUCAUAGGCUCUCUGAGGGCAGGAAGGGAAGCAUGGGGCAGUUUUCUGCUUGAAGGAUGCUACUAUCACCGGUUCUUAAAAGGCUAAGAUGCUGUGGGGGAAAAUUAAUAAGCAUUUGGCAUAAUCCUGUUUCUCUAUUUUCUUUCCCCUUUUGUAUUUUUGAGCGGUUAAAAGUUUUUAGGCAGGAAAACCCCUUACCAGAGGAAGCAGUCUUUCACUCGCUGCUUUGCAAGACUUCUAUUUGCUGUGCCUAAAACCUCAGAACGGGACCAACACUUGGGAAUUUGUUAGAAAGCCACAUCUUAGACUUCAAUCCAGAUCAACCAGCUUAAGAAAGGCAACAAAGCAGAGACACAGCAUCAACGAAAGCAAAACAAGAACAGAAACUUUUGAAAGACUGGAUACUUUACUGAUCUGUGUUUUAUCAAAGCUUCAGGAUUUUACAUGGCUGCUAAGGAUUCAAACUCAGGUCCUUAUGCUUGGACAACUGUUAACUCAUCAACUGCACUGAACUGGAUCUAUGCCGCCAACCAAGGAACCAAGCAACGAAAGCCUAAUGUACUUUCUUAGAGGACACAGCAAUUAGUGGAUAACUUCUUUAGUUCUUUAUUCAAAA
Non-coding RNA from Rattus norvegicus (Norway rat), 2489 nucleotides. Lineage: Eukaryota; Metazoa; Chordata; Mammalia; Rodentia; Muridae. The record is from RefSeq and is a predicted model, not a curated record.